CAGCAGCCGCGGUAAUACAGAGGGUGCAAGCGUUAAUCGGAAUUACUGGGCGUAAAGCGCGCGUAGGUGGUUUGUUAAGUUGGAUGUGAAAUCCCUGAGCUUAACUUAGGAAUUGCAUUCGAUACUGGGAAGCUAGAGUAUGGGAGAGGAUGGUAGAAUUCCAGGUGUAGCGGUGAAAUGCGUAGAGAUCUGGAGGAAUACCGAUGGCGAAGGCAGCCAUCUGGCCUAAUACUGACGCUGAGGUACGAAAGCAUGGGGAGCAAACAGGAUUAGAUACCCCAGUAGUCCCUGUCUCUUAUAC
This 301-nucleotide ribosomal RNA is filed under the name uncultured bacterium. RNAcentral's name for it is "partial 16S ribosomal RNA". It matches the Rfam family "Bacterial small subunit ribosomal RNA", at positions 509 to 807 of the family's 1533-position model. The record is from RNAcentral.